CCUACGGGAGGCAGCAGUGAGGAAUAUUGGGCAAUGGGGGCAACCCUGACCCAGCCAUGCCGCGUGAGUGAAGAAGGUCUUCGGAUUGUAAAGCUCUUUCGGACGUGACGAUGAUGACGGUAGCGUCUAAAGAAGCACCGGCAAACUUCGUGCCAGCAGCCGCGGUAAUACGAAGGGUCCGGGCGUUAUCCGGAUUUAUUGGGUUUAAAGGGAGCGUAGGCCGCAUGUCAAGCGUGCUGUGAAAUGUCCGGGCUCAACCCGGGCCUUGCAGCGCGAACUGGCGUGCUUGAGUCCGCGGAAAGCAGGCGGAAUUCGUCGUGUAGCGGUGAAAUGCUUAGAUAUGACGAAGAACCCCGAUUGCGAAGGCAGCUUGCUGCAGCGGAACUGACGCUGAUGCUCGAAAGCGCGGGUAUCGAACAGGAUUAGAUACCCUGGUAGUC
This 440-nucleotide ribosomal RNA is filed under the name uncultured bacterium. RNAcentral's name for it is "partial 16S ribosomal RNA". It matches the Rfam family "Bacterial small subunit ribosomal RNA", at positions 338 to 795 of the family's 1533-position model. The record is from RNAcentral.